CUGGUGGCUUAAUGGGAGGCACGACCCCUGGUGGUAGGGGUGGAAGAACUCCUGGAGGGAGGACACCUGGUGGUAGGACUCCUGGAGGAAGGAGACCGCCUGGUGGCUUAAUGGGAGGCACGACCCCUGGUGGAAGGACCCCUGGUGGCAGGACUCCCGGUGGAAGAAUUCCUGGAGGAAGGACACCUGGUGGUAGGGGUGGAAGAACUCCUGGAGGAAGGACACCGGGUGGAAGAACUCCUGGAGGCAGAAUUCCCGGGGGGAGAAUUGGUGGCAAGAGACCUGGUGGUUUAACUAUAGGGGGUUUAACAAUGGGGGGUUUCACAACAGGAGGUUUGACAACGGGGGGUUUCACAACAGGGGGUUUGACAACGGGGGGUUUAACAACCGGGGGUUUGACAGUGGGAGGUUUGGGGGCAGGUUUGUGAUGGGGAGGGGGUUUCUCACAGCUACCGCAAUCGAGGACAGG
RNAcentral lists this long non-coding RNA (469 nucleotides) under Daucus carota (carrot). Its description in RNAcentral is "long non-coding RNA (DCAR_LNC001768)". The record is from RNAcentral. Lineage: Eukaryota; Viridiplantae; Streptophyta; Magnoliopsida; Apiales; Apiaceae.